RNAcentral lists this ribosomal RNA (1014 nucleotides) under Triticum aestivum (bread wheat). Its description in RNAcentral is "partial small subunit ribosomal RNA". Lineage: Eukaryota; Viridiplantae; Streptophyta; Magnoliopsida; Poales; Poaceae. The record is from RNAcentral.
UUGCGCGGCCACCUCGUCCUCGGCUCCUCCCGCGGGUGGCUCGCCACGGCCGACGACCGGGGUCAGAUCUACCUCGUCAACCCGCUCAGCGGCAUGCAGCUCAGGUUGCCGCACAUGUCCACCAUGGGUCUCUUCGUGCCCGACACGCGAUACCUACACUUCUCCCUCCGCAUACCGGACUUCCUGAAAGCCCGGUUCGGCGGGGGGCCGCCCUACGAUCAUGAAUGGGGUCCGGUGGGGUACAACACUAGCACGUUGAUCUAUUAUCAGAUGCGUGAGCAUUUUUACCGCAAGGUGGUCAUCUCGACGUCCCCGCUCCCCAGCAGCUAUGCCGUGAUGCUCAUCAUGGAACAUAAGAUCGGCGCACCGGCCUUCGCCACGGCGAAGCACCCUGUGUGGAGGCUGGCACCCUCGCGUGAAGGCGUCGAGGACGCCAUCCACCAUGACGGCCGGUUCUACUCCGUCUCCUACUCAGGCCUGGUGGAGGCGUGGGAGCGCAAUGCGGUGUCCGGCGUGUACACUAGCACGGCCGUCGCGCCACGGCUGGCCCUUGGGAAAAACGAAGAAGGCAGCUCGUCGUCGUGCCGCAAGUACCUCGCGGCGGCGCCCGGAGGGCGGCUGAUGGUGGUGCUCAAGUACCUCGAGGUGAUCAAGGAGCAGAACGGCCAGGGCAGACGGCCGUGCUCCUUCAAGGUGCAUGCCCUCAGCGACCAAGGGCAGUGGAAGGAGGCGACGGACAUCGGCAACGUCGCGCUGUUCGUCGGGGUGAACAACUCGCUGUGCUUGCCGAUGAUGGAGCGCCCGGAGAUCAAGGCCAGCUGCGUCUACUACACUGACAACGAGCUCGGCAACAGAUCGACGUACGAUGGCGAUGGCGGUCGCGGUGAGUCGGAUCUUCAGGCUGUCGGGGUGUACAGCCUCAAGGACGGCACGAUGAAGAAAAUCUGGGAUCUCGGAGAGCAGGUCCGAAACUUUUACCCGCCGCCGGUUUGGAUAUUACCUUCCAAGUACUAA